RNAcentral lists this ribosomal RNA (531 nucleotides) under uncultured bacterium. Its description in RNAcentral is "bacterial SSU rRNA". It matches the Rfam family "Bacterial small subunit ribosomal RNA", at positions 355 to 896 of the family's 1533-position model. The record is from RNAcentral.
UGGGGAAUAUUGCACAAUGGGCGCAAGCCUGAUGCAGCGACGCCGCGUGGGGGAUGACGGCCUUCGGGUUGUAAACUCCUUUCGCCAGGGACGAAGCGUUUUGUGACGGUACCUGGAGAAGAAGCACCGGCUAACUACGUGCCAGCAGCCGCGGUAAUACGUAGGGUGCAAGCGUUGUCCGGAAUUACUGGGCGUAAAGAGCUCGCAGGUGGUUUGUCACGUCGUCUGUGAAAUUCCACAGCUUAACUGUGGGCGUGCAGGCGAUACGGGCUGACUUGAGUACUGUAGGGGUAACUGGAAUUCCUGGUGUAGCGGUGAAAUGCGCAGAUAUCAGGAGGAACACCGAUGGCGAAGGCAGGUUACUGGGCAGUUACUGACGCUGAGGAGCGAAAGCAUGGGUAGCAAACAGGAUUAGAUACCCUGGUAGUCCAUGCCGUAAACGGUGGGCGCUAGGUGUAGGGGCCUUUUGGGGUUUCUGUGCCGUAGCUAACGCAUUAAGCGCCCCGCCUGGGGAGUACGGCCGCAAGGCUA